CUUGACGACCAUAGCAAGGUGGUCCCACCCCUUCCCAUCCCGAACAGGACCGUGAAACGCCUUUGCGCCGAUGAUAGUUGAUUAACGUCUGUGAAAGUAGGUCAUCGUCAGGC
RNAcentral lists this ribosomal RNA (113 nucleotides) under Eoetvoesiella caeni. Lineage: Bacteria; Pseudomonadati; Pseudomonadota; Betaproteobacteria; Burkholderiales; Alcaligenaceae. The record is from RNAcentral.